RNAcentral lists this transfer RNA (65 nucleotides) under Saron marmoratus. Its description in RNAcentral is "tRNA-Glu". Lineage: Eukaryota; Metazoa; Arthropoda; Malacostraca; Decapoda; Hippolytidae. The record is from RNAcentral.
UUUUUAUGGUGUAAAACACGUUAUAUUUUCAAUAUAAAGCUAAGAGCCAUGCUCUUUAAAAACAA